Equus caballus (horse) is the source of this 3848-nucleotide long non-coding RNA. RefSeq lists it as uncharacterized. The record is from RefSeq and is a predicted model, not a curated record. Lineage: Eukaryota; Metazoa; Chordata; Mammalia; Perissodactyla; Equidae.
UCCAACCACCCGGAAGUUGCUGCUGCUCCAGCCGCUCUGGGGACCGCGUCUCCCCGCUGUUAAAGGCCCCACGUACCUCUGCCAGUUCUGUCGAGUUGUGACCCGUACCCACCGCGGGAGUCGAAGGAGGCAUGCUAAGGGACGCAGGAGGCCUAGAAUGGCGAGCCUUCGGGCGGAGUCAGGAUUUAGGGGAGGUGUAUCUGGCCAAACGUGGACUCCCCUUCUCGCUCCUGCCCUGCUCGGGUCAGUUGUCCCCUGCCCUUAACGGUCCUGGUGGCUCUGCCGCAGCCUCUGUCACCCUGUGACCUGCACUGGCCGUGGGGCUCGUAGGAAUGACUCAGGGGACCCAGGAGAUCUAGAAAUGAUCUGGCUGAGUCUGUUCUGUCCAGUCCUGUGUCCACAGCCUCUCAGCUGCACUUGGCCUUCCCUCUGAGGGACAUGAUGCCCCUUUACUGGGUUGUCCUCAUGGAUCUUCCACAGCUGUGCCCUCCCACAGUCAUUGCAGGCGGGGUCUGAACUGCAUCCUGGUUUCUCCAAGAACACAGGUAUGACAUUACAUUAAUGACAUCUUGUCUGAGGACAUUUAGGACAUACAAAUAUUGUAAAAACGAGCUCACAAAAACUGGAUGGCACAUUGUCACUCAUAUGAUGUGAGGCCCUGACAACUUUGUUAAAUUUCUGGAAAUUAUUUGAUAAUCUGAAACUAUGAAGAAAUAGCUGUUGUUUCCCUCAGCAUCCACAGCAUCUCCUGGGUUCUUCUCCUGUUCCAGAGGUAACAUAUUUCUUGUAUUCAAAUUUUAUUUGAGCCUAUUUGUGCUGUUGCGUGCAAAUUUUCCACCUGGAGUGGCACCCCCUACCACAAAAGUCUGGAGACUCUCUUUAAAUUGUCAUACAACCAACUCUCCUGUUAGUGCCCUCAGAGACUCCUUCACUAUAGAGGCCUCAGUGACCUUCUGUCAUGCCUUCUAGGGUACCCAUGGUGGCCUUAAGUUGUCCAUGGGCUUCUGAUGGAAGAACCAGCCCUAGGCCCACAGUAUAUGUCAUUAGAGCUGCAGUGACCUCUACUUACAAGGCUGUCCUGCCAGUAGAUGGCCCUGAGCAUGGGACCAUGUAUCGAGCAGUCCGUUUUGACUUGUGACCUGGGAACAGCACUCCAGGAGCUCAGCAUGGUUAUGGAGACCCCCUGGAGACAUGAUGAAGCCAAACCUGGGCCCUCUGGGAUAUCCUACCUCCAGGAGGAGGUGAUAUUCCCUGUCUUCAGUCUCCUGCCGGGUAAAAUGGUGUUGAAAGAGGUCACCCCUUUCCCAGAAUCCCAGGCUCCCUGGGGAGCUCCUUAGGACUCCCUAAGUGUAAAGCAACAGGAGUUCCUAGACUUUGGGGAUGACAUCAUCACAUUUGCACAAAUGGAGCCCAGGCGGAGUUGCUGCUUUUCAUGUCUUAAUUGUGACAUCUCUGAUGGACUGGACACAAAGGUCAACGCACUGACCACACAGCAAGCAUUCAUCGUAGCACUGCCCAACAUUGGGCUCCAGCUGCAGACAUUACAGACUAUGGGCGAUUCCCUGAGAGUUGCCCCUUUGUGGUAAAAGGACUCUAGGAGUCUCUUGCCUCACAGUUACCUACAAUAUAAAUCAAAGUAACACUUGUCUCUGCGCAUAUGAAGGCCACACACAAAGUCUCACCAGGACACUCUGUCCACAUGGGAGUUGCAGACACUACUGAUAGUAAUGAAGGCACUCAUUUCACUUCUCAGAAUAUACAGUGCUGGGCUCUUAACAAGGCGUUCAAUGGAAGUUCCUCCUCUCUUCCAAGUCUCAGGGUGCAGGCCUCAGAGAGAAACUUAAUGACUUAUUAAAAUAAGUUCAAAUUAGUUGAAUGAAAGAUGGUCUGUUUCUGUCAUCAGUCACUCACCAGGGGUGAAUAUUAAUGUGCCUGUCUUUACUGUUUUCCUAGUAGACUGCUUUGUUUUAGGGUCAGUUUUAGGUUUACAGAAAACUUGACUGGAAAGUACAGAGAUUUCCCACAUAAUUCCUCUGCCUCCACACAGUUUGCCCUACAUUUUAUAUCUCCUAUUGCUGUGGUACAUUUGAUACAUUUGAUGAACCAAUUUGAUGCAUGAAAUUUCAUAGUUUACAUUAGUGGUGACUCUGUGUUAUGCAAUCUCUGGGCUUUGGCUAAUGUAACACUUUACAUUGCAUUUAUGUGGAACACUUGCACUUCUCUAAAAAUCUCCUGUGCUCCACCUUUUCAUUCAUCCCUCCCUCCCCCAAAUCCCUGGUAACCAAUGAUCUUUCAGUGUCAUCUUUAAUCUUUUGUAGAAUGUCCCAUGCUUGGAAUCAUACAGUGUAUAGUCUUGUCACACUGGCUUCUUUCAGUUAGCAAUAUGAUUUUAAAAUGUCUCCAUUUCUGUCUUGAUAACCUCAUUUGUGUUCAUCACUGAAGAAUGUUUUACCCUAUGGAUGUCCCCAUGAUUGUUUAUCCUUUCGCCUAUUGAAAUUAUCUUGGUUACAUCUAGGUCUCGACAAUAAGGCACAAAGCUCCUGUCAACAUUCACGUGCAGGGAUUUUUGUGAACAUCUGUUUUCAGCUCAUUUGGGUAAGGUCAAAUGCCAGAGUCCAGCUCCAGCAGAGUCCAGGUUCCUGAGGGAUGAACGGCGUCGGCGAAGGGAAGGGAAUGAGACUGCACGCCAAGUUGGUGGAAGCAAGUCUGAAGUCUUUAUUGUCAAGCGUGUGUUUAUAUAUAUUUUGAGGAUUACAUAAGCGUCUGGGGUACAUCUAUUUUCUCCCCUGAAGUAGCUUGAUUUUUCCCCAUGAUAUCAUUUUACUUCCUUAAUUUAUCUGGGUCAUCAGCAGUUUCUAAAGGUUACUUCCCUUAUUCAGUCCUGGGAAAGAGCUGUUCUUUUCAUUUUCUGGGUAAGUGCAGUUAGUAUUUAUAGAUCUCUACAGUAUUCUUUGCCGGGGGUGAGACUCGGGUUAUGCUGGAGGACGGAACAAGCCUUGGGGCAAAGAUGACCCAAGGUAUGUUUAGACGAGGCACACACAGGGCCCCACACCCUCUUAUAUAACUCCCACACUGAGACAUUUGACCCUUUAACCCUCUUUCUUCGGCAGGGCCCUGGGGUUGUUGAAGGAGUGUUAGUCAGAAGAGGGUCUUUCUUGUCUACUACAGUGGGAUUCACCUUUCCCAGCAGAUUCCCCUGGGUAAGCACAAGCGUCAUGAAGAGAGCCAAUACAGCAACUAGUAACAGCAGUUUGAGCAAGGAGGACCCUCGGCCGUUCCUGCAGGGGUUGCUUUGCAACUCCCGUGCUUCGUGUGCCCCGACUGUGUCACUGGGCUGCAGUGGUUGCAGGACGGCGUCCGUCAUUCAAAGAACGUGAUGGCUGCAAUCGUAUGGUGUUUCGACUUGUUGGGGGGGCCUCUCGGACAUAGGGAGACCCUGCCCCUCCCAGGGGCACCUCAUUCCACAUUGGCGGUGGACAGCUUGUCUGGAGCAGGCCUCUCACGUGCAUCCCGCCCAAUCCAGUGCCCUGUCCCUACAGACCUCCUUAUCUGCCUCUCACACGCCAGACAGUAUUCCCCACUCUAAACCCACCCAGGGCCAGGAACCAGAUGACUGAGGACCGUCCCUAGGCCCCAGAGGCUGCUGGGAUUGUUCAAAGCAGCCGGUCCUGAGCUGCUCACUCUGCCCUGACUCACAUUUCCUGUGGGACCCAAAUGAAGGCUGUGGCCUAGGUUUGUGUCCCCCUACUGAUUCUGCCUCCUGAGCAACCCUGAUGCAGCCCCUGUGACCCUGCCUGGCGUGGUGUGCCCUCAUCUUGGGAAGUGUAAGUAAUAAACUUUCAAUGUCA